GACUAGGUGGACACCAAGGGUGUGGCAAAACAAGAUAAGCUGUUUAUGAAAAAUUAGUGUCACUUGCUUGGUUACCACCAUGGCUAAACCACCAGACCACUGCAGUUUAAAGAAUUAAAUCAAUCCACUGAUAACACCUAGAAGGCAGGCCUGCCUUACAGGCCCAUCAGAUCAACCAGGUGCCUUGUUUCAAGCAGCGAUGGCAGAAUCCAGGGACUACGGUAAAGGCUGAUACCUCAGUUUGUACUAUAUGAAAAUACACAAUUGACGGUGUUAAUGUUCAGCUUUCUUUAAUAUUUACUCUGCCAAUGAUUGUUAGUAAUUCUCUAGCUUUAAAGAUAUUGUAAUAUUAAGGAAAAUGUACACAAAACAAAAACAUUCUUAUGUGAUAUAUUUGUUUUAUCUGGAUGUUUAUGCCCGUUAGUCGGAGACUUUCUUGCAGAGUUCAAGGAGCAGAUCAUUGUACGGGCAACACGAGUCAGUGACAUCACAGAGGCUGUCGUCUCUGAAAACCUGAUCAAUGACAGGGCAGCCCGUCAAGUUCAAGCUGCUCACACUGAGCAGGAGGCAAUGAGGCUUCUGUUUGAGGCCCUGGAAAGAGAACCUGCUCAACACAAAGUGUCCUUUCAUCUGAUACUGAGAAUGACAGAGCCAGAACUUAUUCAAGAGCUAGAAUGGCGACAACGGAACAGCAAGCAUACCCAGACAGAAGUGGAUCAGUUUUCUAGACAGAAGAAAAGGGAGGAUGACAAGAGUAGAAAGAAUGCUGACACACAGCUAAAGAAAGACUCGCUGAAGAGAAGAAGAAUGGAGACAAUGCAAGCCAUAGAACAGAUUGAGAAACUUUGGGAAGGAACAAAACGAGAGAGAAAUGAGCUUGACAGUAUGAGGGAAAGAAUCCAGAGACAGCAAGAUGAGAUUGCCAGGAUGACAGUCGAGAAAAGACAGCUAGAAGGAAUGUUAGCACAAAUGAGGAUACAGCUGGAACAUGUCAAUGAAAAGAUGCAACAAAACAGGGAGGGGAUAAACCAAGAAAAAGAUAGGAUUGAGCAAAUGAGAACUGACCUGCUAGCAGAGAGGAAUUCCUUGGAACACAAACGUGAUGAAAUUGUCAGAGAGAGACAAAACAUAGAAAUAAUGAAGUAUGAGACAUUGAGAGCAAAAGAGGAGAUGGAGAGCAGUCGUGAAGCUACAAAGUAUGAAAUGGAACGAAUGGAGCAAAUGAAGACUGCCAUACAAAGGCAAAUACACGACAUAGAAAAAGAAGUUGAGGAGACCAAACAAGCUAAAGACAAGAUGGAUCAGCUAAAAGCUGAGCUUGAGGAAGAGAGAAAUGAUCUAGACAGGAAGAGGGAUGAUAUUAAACGACAAAGAGAGCAAUUUGAGCAAAUAAAACAUGAGCUACAUAGAGUGAAAGAAGAGAUGGAGCAAAGAUGGCAUGAGACAGAGAAGGAGGAUUUGGAACGGAGAGCUAUAAUUCAAAGAGAGAAAGAGGAGCUGACAAAUGUGCAAGCGGAAGUUCAGAAAGCAAAAGAAGAGACUGAGAAGAGCAAGGAAGAAUCAAAGCGUGAGAAGGACAAAAUAAACCAAAUGAGAGCAGAAAUGCUUAAAGAGAAACACCUCUUAGAAAAAAGGUGUCAAGAGACUGUGAGAAAAGAAAAGGAGUUGGAGCAGAUUAUUCACAAGAUUAAAACUGAAAGAGAGGAGUUGGCACUAAAUGGAGAGUUAGUAAAACAAGAGUGGGAAAAGGUGGAGCAGGCCAAGGCAGAUUUCCAGUCUCAAAUGACAUCCAUUGAGACAAAAAUUGAGGAAAUAAAGCGAGCAAAUGAAAAACUGGACCGGAUGAAACUGGCCAUUCAUAAUGAAAAGGAGGUUCUGGAAAAGCAGAGGGAUGAUAUACGAAAGGCUAAAGAGGAGAUGGAGAAAAGGAGGUACGAGAUAAUGACAGAGGAGCUGGAACAAAGAGCUCAGUUGCAGAAGAAUAGAGAUGAACUGGAGGCAAUCAAAAAAGAAAUACAGAGAGCUAAUGAUCUGGAAAGAGCAAGAGUGGAGAGAAUGAAAGAGGACAUCACUCGGACAAAGGAGGAGGCUCAACAAGACAGAGAUGCAACUGAACAAAUGAAAGCUGAGAUAAAGAUUGAAAGGGACAACCUUAGAAGAAGACAAGACGAAAUAUUGAGGGAGAGGCAAGAGCUAGAGAGAAUUAGGCAUGAAACAGUCAGAGCCAGAGAGGAGAUGGAGAAAUGCAAGGAAAUCACAAUAGGGGAGAAUGAAAAAAUGGAAAAAAUGAAGGUUGACAUUCAAGCCCAAAUAGAAGAUAUAGAAAAACAGGUUAGAGAGACAACUGAAGCAAAGGAAAACAUGGAUGAGAUGAAAGUGAAAUUGGAGGAGGAGAGGGACGAUUUGGAAAGGAAGAGGGACAGUGUCAAAAGAGAAAUGGAGCAAUGUGAGCUUAUUAAAUUAGAGAUCAUUCGAGUGAAAGAGGAAAUGGAGAGUAGAUGGCAAGAGACUGAAAGAGAAGAAGUAGAGAUGAGAGAAAAAACACAGCAAGAGAGGGAGAGACUUGAACAACUGAGGGAUGAGCUGCAGAUAGUCAAAGAGGAUACAGAAAAGAGCAAGAAAGAGAUAGGGAAAGAAAGGGAAAGUCUUGAAAUGCUGAAAAGACAAACCGCAGAGGACAGAGACGCUGCAGUCAAAAAGAUGGAUGAGGUCAAAACAAAAACUGAGGAGUUAUCACAUGUUAAAAAUGAGAUAGAAAAAGAGAAAGAAGACAUCAAAAGAGAUUGGGAAGUGAUUAAUCAAAAGCUGAAUGAAAUUACACAAAUGAGAGACGAACUUCAAAAUCAAAUGGCAGAAAUUGAAAAUAAGACUGCUGCAGCCAAGUCAGCCAAAGACGAGGCAGAUAAAGCCAAGCUUGCAGCAGAGGAAGUGGAGCUGAUCUUGAAAAAGCAAAAGGAAGAAAUGGAAAAGAGAAGAUAUGAGACUGUGAAAGAGGAGCUGGAGCAAAGAGCUGAGAUACAAAGAAAAAAGGAGGAACUGGAGCAUUUGAAUAAUGAGAUACAAAUAGCCCAAACAACAUUACAAACAACAAGAGACACUGACAAAGAUACAUUAGAGAAGAUUUUGCUUGAAGCACAGGAAGAGAGAAUGAUUACUGAGCAAAUCAAAACUGCACUGCAGAGUGAAAUGGUUCUUCAGGAAAGGCGAACAGGUGAGAUAGAAAAAGAAAGGCAAGAGCUAGAGAAUCUUCAGUUCCAGAUGCAGAAGAUGAAGGAGGAGCUGGAAAAGAAGCAGUAUGACACCAUGAGAGAUGAUCUGGAGAGGAGGGCUGGGCAGCAGAGAGAAAGGGAAGAGCUUGAUAGGAUCAGGGCUGAGCUGGAGAGCGACAAAGCGGCCCUACACAGAAGCGGCGAGAUGAUAAAUCAAGAUAAAGAAAAGUUGGAACAGAUGAUGAUAGGAUUUCAAGAGCAAAAGGAAGAUAUAAAAAGAAGACUAGAACAUGCCAGACAAGCAGAGGAUGGAAUAAGACAAAUGAGAGAAGAAAUUGAGCUUCAAAGAGAACAUCUGGAGAGGGUUCGUGUGGAGACGGAGAAGGAGAAAGAGCCAUAUGAAAAAGUCAAGAAUGAGCUUAACAGAUUGAGAGGGGAGAUGGAAAGACUUUGGGAUGAAGCAGAAGGAGAAGAACAGGAGGAAAGAGAGAAAUUUCUGAGAGAGAAGGAGGAGAUGAAUAAGAAGAUGGAGGAGAUGAACUAUGAGAUGAUGCAGAUCCAAGACUUGAAAAUGGAGUUAAAAAGACAGAGGGAGGAGGUAGAGGUAAAACUGGAGAAGGCAAAGAGAGAAAUGAAUAAACUUGAGCAGCUGAAGGCAGACCUGCAGAGACGCAAAGAGGAGAUUGAGAAAAAAACUGCAGAGACUAAGAGUGAGAGGGAUGAAUUGGAGCAGGUGAGAGCUGAGAUACUAAGGCAAAAGGAAGACGUGGAAAACAAAAUGCGACUAGCGAAAACAGAGAUGGAAAAGAUGCAACGAGUCAAGGAAGAAAUACAACAACAAAGAGAUGAAUUGGAAGGAAGGAUGCAGAGGGCAAAAAGAGAAAUGGAAGAGAUGGAGCUCAUGAAAAAAGAAAUGGACCGAAAGAAAAAGGAGGUUGAUCAAAGAAUGAAGCAGACCAUGAGGAAAAAAGAAGAGAUGGACAGAAUAAAGAUGGAAAUACAGAAAGCCAAAGAAGAAAUGGAACAUAGAAAGGCAGAGACUGAGAAGGAGAGAUAUGAGAUGGAAUGUGUUAAAGCUGAGAUCCAAAAAGCAAGAGAGGAAUUUGAGAUUAGGGUAGAAGAGAGAGGUCCAGAUCUCGAAGAAAAAGAAGAGAUAAAUGCUGAGAUCAUCAGCUUGAUUCGUCAGAUUGAAAGAACUAGGGAGAUGAUAUGGAAUACUAAACUUCAGGUGGAAAACAGGGUGGCGGAAAGUCAACUGGAAGCAGUAUACAAAGAGCAGAUGAACGCAGAGAUGCAGAGACUCAUUGUAGAAGUUGAACAAAUCAGAGAGAUGCUGCGAAGGCUUAAAAAAGAAAUGGAACAAAACAAGGAGGUUAUCAGGAGUGAGAAGGAUGAGAUAAGAAUGUUAAAGACCGAGAUGCAACGAAGAAGAAGAGACUUACAAUACAGAGAAGAAAAGAAUAUGAGAGAGCGGGCUGAGUUGGAAGUCAUGAGUGCCAAGAUAAAGCGACAAAAAGAAGAGCUGGAGGACAGACUAGAAGACAUUGUACAACAAAAUGAGAAGACAGAGCAGAUGAAAGAAGAAGUGCAACGGGCUUUGGAGAAAAUGGAGCUUGAAAAGGAGGAAAUAAGCCAGGCAAAAGAAAUAAUACUCCAAAGGAAGACCAAGGAAGAGAAGGUAAGCAAAUAUUUAGUGUUUUUUUUUUCUUUUCUUUUCCAGUUGUUCCAUAGUAUGAAUGGUUAUAUUAUGUAGCAGGACUGAAAAAGUCUGAUGUAUACAUGACAUUUUGAAAAGUGUUAAACAAAGAAAAGUUAUGACAAGUAAAAG
Pygocentrus nattereri (red-bellied piranha) is the source of this 5037-nucleotide long non-coding RNA. NCBI's taxonomy places the organism in Eukaryota, Metazoa, Chordata, Actinopteri, Characiformes, Serrasalmidae. The record is from Ensembl.